RNAcentral lists this ribosomal RNA (322 nucleotides) under uncultured Sandonidae. RNAcentral describes it as "SSU rRNA". The stretch from base 63 to 322 matches the Rfam family "Eukaryotic small subunit ribosomal RNA", at positions 694 to 955 of the family's 1831-position model. Lineage: Eukaryota; Cercozoa; Glissomonadida; Viridiraptoridae. The record is from RNAcentral.
GAUUUCUGGUAUGGUGCGCCUGGUCCACCGGGGUAACCCGUGUGAGUGCCGGUGUGCGCCUGCCAUCCUUGUACAGAACGGCUCUACCCUUUAUUGGGUCGGAGUCGCCAUGUACAUCUUUUACUUUGAAAAAAUUAGAGUGUUUAAAGCAGGCUUGCGCUAUGAAUACAUUAGCAUGGAAUAAUAAUUUAGGACUUUGUUUCUAUUUUGUUGGUUUCUAGAGAUGAAGUAAUGAUUGAUAGGGAUAGUUGGGGGUGCUAGUAUUCAUCGGCCAGAGGUGAAAUUCUUGGAUUCGAUGAAGACUAACUUAUGCGAAAGCAUU